GACGAACGCUGGCGGCGUGCUUAACACAUGCAAGCCGAACGAAGAGCGAUGGAAGCUUGCUUCUAUCAAUCUUAGUGGCGAACGGGUGAGUAACGCGUAAUCAACCUGCCCUUCAGAGGGGGACAACAGUUGGAAACGACUGCUAAUACCGCAUACGAUCUGACCUCGGCAUCGAGGAUAGAUGAAAGGUGGCCUCUACAUGUAAGCUAUCACUGAAGGAGGGGAUUGCGUCUGAUUAGCUAGUUGGAGGGGUAACGGCCCACCAAGGCGAUGAUCAGUAGCCGGUCUGAGAGGAUGAACGGCCACAUUGGGACUGAGACACGGCCCAGACUCCUACGGGAGGCAGCAGUGGGGAAUCUUCCGCAAUGGACGAAAGUCUGACGGAGCAACGCCGCGUGAGUGAUGACGGCCUUCGGGUUGUAAAGCUCUGUUAAUCGGGACGAAAGGCCUUUUUGCGAAUAGUGAGAAGGAUUGACGGUACCGGAAUAGAAAGCCACGGCUAACUACGUG
This 510-nucleotide ribosomal RNA is filed under the name uncultured bacterium. RNAcentral describes it as "partial 16S ribosomal RNA". It matches the Rfam family "Bacterial small subunit ribosomal RNA", at positions 28 to 507 of the family's 1533-position model. The record is from RNAcentral.